Molecule: ribosomal RNA, 253 nt
Filed under: uncultured bacterium
Lineage: Bacteria
Description: partial 16S ribosomal RNA
Rfam family: Bacterial small subunit ribosomal RNA
Source: RNAcentral
UACGUAGGGGGCAAGCGUUGUCCGGAUUUACUGGGCUUAAAGGGCGCGUAGGCGGGUGCUCAAGUCCGGGGUGAAAUCCUCCAGCUCAACUGGAGAACUGCCUCGGAUACUGGGCGUCUCGAGUGUGGUAGGGGUAUGCGGAACUAUCGGUGGAGCGGUGAAAUGCGUUGAUAUCGAUAGGAACUCCGGUGGCGAAGGCGGCAUACUGGACCACCACUGACGCUGAUGCGCGAAAGCCAGGGGAGCAAACGGG